This 454-nucleotide ribosomal RNA is filed under the name uncultured bacterium. RNAcentral describes it as "bacterial SSU rRNA". It matches the Rfam family "Bacterial small subunit ribosomal RNA", at positions 64 to 507 of the family's 1533-position model. The record is from RNAcentral.
GAACGGCAGCAUGAUCUAGCUUGCUAGAUUGAUGGCGAGUGGCGAACGGGUGAGUAAUACAUCGGAACGUACCCUGUAGUGGGGGAUAACUAGUCGAAAGAUUAGCUAAUACCGCAUACGACCUGAGGGUGAAAGUGGGGGACCGCAAGGCCUCAUGCUAUAGGAGCGGCCGAUGUCUGAUUAGCUAGUUGGUGGGGUAAAGGCCCACCAAGGCGACGAUCAGUAGCUGGUCUGAGAGGACGAUCAGCCACACUGGGACUGAGACACGGCCCAGACUCCUACGGGAGGCAGCAGUGGGGAAUUUUGGACAAUGGGCGAAAGCCUGAUCCAGCAAUGCCGCGUGUGUGAAGAAGGCCUUCGGGUUGUAAAGCACUUUUGUCCGGAAAGAAAUGGCUCUGGUUAAUACCUGGGGUCGAUGACGGUACCGGAAGAAUAAGGACCGGCUAACUACGUG